UCCGUAGGUGAACGUGCGGAAGGAUCAUUG
This 30-nucleotide ribosomal RNA is filed under the name Solanum americanum. RNAcentral's name for it is "partial 18S ribosomal RNA". Lineage: Eukaryota; Viridiplantae; Streptophyta; Magnoliopsida; Solanales; Solanaceae. The record is from RNAcentral.